CGACGAGAAGGCGAGUGGAAAGCCAUCCGCGUCAUGCGGCGGGGGUCUGAGGUUUACGCAGACUGGGAAGCAGCAAUGCUUCUUUGCGGGUUCGAAUCCCGCCUCGUCGC
Molecule: transfer RNA, 110 nt
Filed under: Planctomycetales bacterium
Lineage: Bacteria; Pseudomonadati; Planctomycetota; Planctomycetia; Planctomycetales
Also listed under: 1 other name
Description: tRNA-OTHER
Rfam family: tRNA
About the family: Transfer RNA (tRNA) molecules are approximately 80 nucleotides in length. Their secondary structure includes four short double-helical elements and three loops (D, anti-codon, and T loops).
Source: RNAcentral